This 561-nucleotide long non-coding RNA is filed under the name Prunus dulcis (almond). RNAcentral describes it as "sRNA ncRNA". Lineage: Eukaryota; Viridiplantae; Streptophyta; Magnoliopsida; Rosales; Rosaceae. The record is from RNAcentral.
CCACAAUCAGAGAGAGAGAGAGAGAGAGAGAGAGAGAGAGAGAGAGAGAUUACAGGCAUGGCAAUGAAGAAAACUUCAUCAGAAGUAGAGAAGGCGUGGAACAACUUGAAGCCAGCUGGGGAAGACGACCUCCUCUGCCCCAAAACAGAGCACCACCACCGAAAGGAGCCCAUGAAGCUGAAGUUGAGUUCAUCUCAAGAUCAAAGCAAGGCUGAGCCAUGGUUGUUCAAACCAAAAGCUGGAAGUGUGUUCCCGGUGAAGAAGAGGUUAGUGAAGAGGAUGAUGUUUGAUCAAAUUGUCCAAUGCUUUUGCUCUGUUUCAGUUUCAGAGAAUAUUACUACUAGGCCUUCUUCAGCUUCUGCUUCGAAGGCCAACAAGGUCGCCAGCAACCAAGUUUACCCAAGCCCACCACCAUAGCUGGUGUUUUAUUGUUUUUAGUUCAGGGUUGUGAAUGCUUUUCUGUUUUCUGCUUAUAUUUGCGGUCAUGUUGAUGUAAAUUUUUCCUAGGUUUUCUUUCAUCUCAAUCUCCUUAUACAUAUAUAUGAUAUAUCUCUCUCUCUG